Molecule: non-coding RNA, 322 nt
Organism: Pelobates cultripes (western spadefoot toad)
Lineage: Eukaryota; Metazoa; Chordata; Amphibia; Anura; Pelobatidae
Source: the annotation of a GenBank genome assembly
GCCAGUUCCUGGAAGACACCUUCUUCAAGCAGUGGUACAGGAAGAAGUCUGCAUCCUUCAAGAAAAACAUGAUUUUCAUGCAGGACAAUGCUCCAUCACACGCGUCCAAGUACUCCACAGAGUGGCUGGCAAGAAAGGGUAUAAAAGAAGAAAAUCUAAUGACAUGGCCUCCUUGUUCACCUGAUCUGAACCCCAUUGAGAACCUGUGGUCCAUCAUCAAAUGUGAGAUUUACAAGGAGGGAAAACAGUACACCUCUCUGAACAGUGUCUGGGAGGCUGUGGUUGCUGCUGCACGCAAUGUUGAUGGUGAACAGAUCAAAAC